AUACCAUGGUGUGGGCAUUUUCUUAACAUUGCUUUUAAUCGUUCCCAUGUUUGGUAUACAGAUUCAGAAUCUGUCUGCAUAAAAUUAUUGAUUUCUUGCUUCAUUUU
This 107-nucleotide small nucleolar RNA is filed under the name Nicotiana sylvestris (wood tobacco). Its description in RNAcentral is "Plant small nucleolar RNA R71". It matches the Rfam family "Plant small nucleolar RNA R71". From Rfam's summary of the family: R71 is a member of the C/D box family of snoRNAs containing the C (UGAUGA) and D (CUGA) box motifs. Multiple nearly identical copies of this snoRNA have been identified in Arabidopsis, and it is thought to function as a 2'-O-ribose methylation guide for 18S ribosomal RNA. Lineage: Eukaryota; Viridiplantae; Streptophyta; Magnoliopsida; Solanales; Solanaceae. The record is from Rfam by way of RNAcentral.